This 87-nucleotide transfer RNA is filed under the name Saprospiraceae bacterium. RNAcentral's name for it is "tRNA-Leu". It matches the Rfam family "tRNA". From Rfam's summary of the family: Transfer RNA (tRNA) molecules are approximately 80 nucleotides in length. Their secondary structure includes four short double-helical elements and three loops (D, anti-codon, and T loops). Further hydrogen bonds mediate the characteristic L-shaped molecular structure. tRNAs have two regions of fundamental functional importance: the anti-codon, which is responsible for specific mRNA codon recognition, and the 3' end, to which the tRNAs corresponding amino acid is attached (by aminoacyl-tRNA synthetases). tRNAs cope with the degeneracy of the genetic code in two manners: having more than one tRNA (with a specific anti-codon) for a particular amino acid; and 'wobble' base-pairing, i.e. permitting non-standard base-pairing at the 3rd anti-codon position. Lineage: Bacteria; Pseudomonadati; Bacteroidota; Saprospiria; Saprospirales; Saprospiraceae. The record is from RNAcentral.
GCCGAAGUGGUGAAAUUGGUAGACACGCACGUUUCAGAGGCGUGUGUUCGCGAGGACAUGCGGGUUCGAGUCCCGCCUUCGGCACCA